This 18-nucleotide small nuclear RNA is filed under the name Arabidopsis thaliana (thale cress). RNAcentral's name for it is "snRNA_14571". Lineage: Eukaryota; Viridiplantae; Streptophyta; Magnoliopsida; Brassicales; Brassicaceae. The record is from RNAcentral.
AGCUAGAGGUGUCAGAAA